Puntigrus tetrazona (Sumatra barb) is the source of this 788-nucleotide long non-coding RNA. RefSeq lists it as uncharacterized. The record is from RefSeq and is a predicted model, not a curated record. The transcript is spliced from 4 exons. NCBI's taxonomy places the organism in Eukaryota, Metazoa, Chordata, Actinopteri, Cypriniformes, Cyprinidae.
GCGACGGAAAGAUUUGAUUGCAUUUUUGAACAAUUGUCAAAUGAGGGCUUUGCCGUCGUCGCCCUUGGCUCUGCUCCGGUGGCCCGGAUUGGGUCUGUAAAUGUUUUCUUGUUCUUUUCUCCCCAGAGUGUGAACCUUGAAGGCUCAGAUGAAAAAUCAAUACUUGGCCAGCUCCUCCAGGUCAUCGCCGCAGACCGUCAGCAGCAGGAGGAACUACAGGACAAACACUACUUUGUCUUCCUGUUUGGGAGCCGCAAAAAAAAAGAGACGUUUACCGCGUGACUGGGCUUGAAUAGACAAAAGACAGACUGCUGCCGGGCGGAUGCAGACAGAUAAAACAGACAAAUCAUCCGCAGCCAUCAGAGGAAAACAGGUCCCGCGGCUCCGGACAAACUGAUGGAUGAACGGACAAACAUACCAGAGCUACCUGGCUGGAACCUUUUGAGCUCCUGCGAGGGAAACGAAACUUUCGGGGAGAUUCAGAUUUCAAGUCAGUGACGCAGUCAACCACGCAAUACAAUGAGAUUCACCUUUAGACCGUUAUCCCUUGGCGGACUUUAUUAGGAGCAAUGGGCCAGUUUGUCAGAAAUUAAAUAUUUUGAGAGACUGAAUGUAUUUUGUAUUAAUCUGAUGUUUAAUCAUCACAGGAUGCCAAUAUUGGGUGCAUUUCAUAUUAGACUCACUUCUAGUAAUGUCACAAGUAAGUCACAUGACGUUUCCAACUUAAAUUUGUGUACAUUUUAAAUGCUUUGGAGCAGAGACUUAAGGUUGAUCUCUUUUUAAUGAAA